GAUGAAGAACGUAGCGAAUCGCGAUAAGUAAUGUGAAUUGCAGAUUUUCCGUGAAUCAUCGAAUCUUUGAACGCACCUUGCGCUCCUUGGUAUUCCGAGGAGCAUGCCUGUUUGAGUGUCAUCGAAACCUCGGAUCGACGCUUCGACCCCGUCGAAGCUCGGUUCGGACUGUGGGAGUCUGCCGGCGAAGCGUGACUUCGUCGGCUCUCCUCAAAAGCAUUAGCUGUGGGUGGCGAGCCGGGCAUGGCACGGCCUGUUCGACGUCGUAGUGAUCGUCGCGGGCUGGAAGUGUAUGGCUCGACGUGACCCAUGCUUCUCGAGUCUUGCGAGCCCGUCCCUCUGUGGGACGGCCGCGCCCCAUCGAAGCUUGACCUCAAAUCAGGUAGGACUACCCGCCGAACUUAAGCAUAUCAAUAAGCGGAGGA
This 425-nucleotide unclassified non-coding RNA is filed under the name soil metagenome. RNAcentral's name for it is "partial contains 5.8S ribosomal RNA, internal transcribed spacer 2, and large subunit ribosomal RNA". The stretch from base 1 to 121 matches the Rfam family "5.8S ribosomal RNA", at positions 35 to 154 of the family's 154-position model. The record is from RNAcentral.